UACCGAGAACAACGUUUUUUCUUUUGUAAACGUUAAGAAAGAAAGUUCGUAACAAGGUCAACCUGUCGACACGUGCCUGUCCGAGAGUUCGUGUUGUCUGGCUCGCUCGGCUCUACCGUAGGCGAACCGGCGGCACCCAGUAGGAACCAUCGCACGGCGCCCACCGCCGGCUGGAGAGGGAGCGCGAGGGCCGGGCCGCGGGAGAGCGCACCGCGAGGAGCGGUAGGGGGGCGCGCAGAAGGGCCCGGAGAGGAUCACGGACGAGUGGACGCUCAGAGACCACCCAGCGUGAGCCCCUCUGAGACCACCCAGCCGGAGAGGACCAGGGACGAGUGGACGCUGUGGAAGCUGCUGCGCGGCCACGACUCGCAGCAGGUCGGUGGCGGCCCGUUCCGCGAGUUCUCGUUAGUCCAAGUCCCGGAGCCUCCGAACCCCCAACGAGCUGUUCAUGGCGACGCACCCACAGUCGCGGCCGUCCGAUGCCAAGAACCUGUAUACAUGUCCUUGGCAUCGUCGCCGCGGCGACGUGUCUAGUCGCACACCUGCUGCGAGCCGCCAGGCCUGAGGCGCCUCACCUGCGACCUCGUGCUCCGGUGGAAACGCCUUUAGACGUUCUAGGGGCACGAACGCGAGUCGGUACUCGGAUGACAAGUGAGACGAGGCGAGGUGGCCUACCUCGACGCCUAUUGGCUUAGCCAGGUAUGAUGUAUGUAACUACCCUGCAGGUGAUUAGUACGUGGUCAGGUAGAGAUGGCUCCCCGUCAGGGGAACCCUGACUCUGUGUUGGGUGUCCUUGUAGAGAGGGGGGUUCGACGGGUUAGGUCAUUCCGUGUCGUUGGGUGUUCUUCGCGAGAGGUCCUGCUAGGUCGUAGAAGGAACUCGUGUAGGCUCAGGUCGAGUCUGAAGUUGUUGGACUUGAGUCCACACGAGUUGAACAGACGUUGUUGGAAUUGGACACGAGCUAGAUCAUCCUAGGGACACGAACGUGAGUCGGUACUCGGAUGAACCACAACAACGGCUUCGAGCCGACUGCGGCAGCCGUGUUGUGGUGAUUUCAACAACCAGUUGUCCAACUCUACGCAGUAGUUACCACUAUCGGGUAACUACAGCGGACCUUCCUGAGGUAGCUUCCUCAACACACUCUCUAGCUCUUUAACCUCGAGCCACGUCCGUAUAUCGCAUCGUGGUCCCUUCCGUGGUCACUCCAACAAGGUUCUCUCUAGCUCCUCGCAGUAUGAGGACUCCAACGAGUGGCUACGGCCGUACGACCACUUAACAGUUCUCCUCUGACGGUUACCGCACUUCCUUCUCGACGUCGUUGACGUAGAAAAUCGGGAUACGAACUAGGUGGGAUAACCGAGUCUUGACUUGAGUCGUGACGUUCACGAAGUAUCCUAAUCCCGACUGUGGCACCGUCAUUAACUACGUUUGAAGUGGUACUCUGGAACAGUAGCGGACUGCGGAAGGAGGUAUCAGCUACCUCACGAGUAGUCUCCCCUUUGGCUCGUAGGAAAUGUAGUCCGUCCACUCCUCCUAGAAGUGAACAGGCGAGAACCUCCGGAGUUGUCACCCAGUUUCCCAAAGACGAAACACCUUACGCCAUCGUCAUGAGAUAGUGGCGGGUUCUUUGGUUUUUACUCGAUC
Molecule: ribosomal RNA, 1644 nt
Filed under: Triticum aestivum (bread wheat)
Lineage: Eukaryota; Viridiplantae; Streptophyta; Magnoliopsida; Poales; Poaceae
Description: partial small subunit ribosomal RNA
Source: RNAcentral